AGCAGCCGCGGUAAUUCCAGCUCCAAUAGUGUAUAUUAAAGUUGUUGCAGUUAAAAAGCUCGUAGUUGAAUUCCAGGCCUGGCUGGACGGUCCGCCCUUCGGGUGAGUACUGUCUGUGGUCGGGUCCUACCUUCUGGCGAAGCGUCAUGGCCUUAACCGACCGUGGCGGGGAACCAGGACUUUUACUGUGAAAAAAUUAGAGUGUUCAAAGCAGGCAAUCGCUUGGAUACAUCAGCAUGGAAUAAUGGAAUAGGACAAUGGUUCUAUUUGUUGGUUUCUAGGACCGUUGUAAUGAUUAAUAGGGAUAGUUGGGGGCAUUAGUAUUCAAUUGUCAGAGGUGAAAUUCUUGGAUUUAUUGAAGACUAACUACUGCGAAAGCAUUUGCCAAGGAUGUUUUCAUUAAUCAAGAACGAAAGUUAGGGGAUCGAAGACGAUCAGAUACCGUCGUAGUCUUAACCAUAAACUAUGCCGACUAGGAAUCGGGCGAUGUUGAAAAAAUGACGC
RNAcentral lists this ribosomal RNA (504 nucleotides) under uncultured Glomeromycotina. RNAcentral describes it as "SSU rRNA". It matches the Rfam family "Eukaryotic small subunit ribosomal RNA", at positions 569 to 1077 of the family's 1831-position model. The record is from RNAcentral. Lineage: Eukaryota; Fungi; Glomeromycota.